AUUGAACGCUGGCGGCAUGCUUUACACAUGCAAGUCGAGCGGCAGCGCGGGGGCAACCCUGGCGGCGAGCGGCGAACGGGUGAGUAAUGCAUCGGAACGUGUCCCGUAGUGGGGGAUAACCCGGCGAAAGCCGGGCUAAUACCGCAUAUGCUCUACGGAGGAAAGGGGGGGAUCCGCAAGGACCUCUCGCUAUGGGAGCGGCCGAUGUCCGAUUAGCUUGUUGGUGGGGUAAUGGCUUACCAAGGCGGGACGAUCGGUAGCUGGUCUGAGAGGAUGAUCAGCCACACUGGGACUGAGACACGGCCCAGACUCCUACGGGAGGCAGCAGUGGGGAAUUUUGGACAAUGGGGGCAACCCUGAUCCAGCCAUGCCGCGUGCGGGAAGAAGGCUGGUGUAACGCUUAGUCGGAGAAAGGACCUGGGCGAAGUACCCU
RNAcentral lists this ribosomal RNA (433 nucleotides) under uncultured bacterium. Its description in RNAcentral is "bacterial SSU rRNA". It matches the Rfam family "Bacterial small subunit ribosomal RNA", at positions 28 to 468 of the family's 1533-position model. The record is from RNAcentral.